This 433-nucleotide ribosomal RNA is filed under the name uncultured bacterium. RNAcentral describes it as "partial 16S ribosomal RNA". It matches the Rfam family "Bacterial small subunit ribosomal RNA", at positions 29 to 507 of the family's 1533-position model. The record is from RNAcentral.
AACGAACGCUGGCGGCAUGCCUAACACAUGCAAGUCGAACGAGACCUUCGGGUCUAGUGGCGCACGGGUGCGUAACGCGUGGGAACCUGCCCUUAGGUUCGGAAUAACUCCCCGAAAGGGGUGCUAAUACCGGAUAAUGUCUUCGGACCAAAGAUUUAUCGCCUUUGGAUGGGCCCGCGUUGGAUUAGCUAGUUGGUAGGGUAAAAGCCUACCAAGGCGACGAUCCAUAGCUGGUCUGAGAGGAUGAUCAGCCACGCUGGGACUGAGACACGGCCCAGACUGCUACGGGAGGCAGCAGUGGGGAGUAUUGGACAAGGGACGAAAGCCUAAUCCAGCAAUGCCGCGUGAGUGAUGAAGGCCUUAGGGUUGUAAAGCUCUUUUACCCGGGAUGAUAAUGACAGUACCGGGAGAAUAAGCUCCGGCUAACUCCGUG